AUACGGAGGAUGCGAGCGUUAUCCGGAUUUAUUGGGUGUAAAGGGAGCGUAGACGGUUUGGCAAGUCUGAUGUGAAAGUUUGGGGCUCAACCUUAAAAUUGCAGUUGAUACUGGUUUCCUUGAGUACGGUACAGGUGGGCGGAAUUCGUGGUGUAGCGGUGAAAUGCUUAGAUAUCACGAAGAACUCCGAUCGCGAAGGCAGCUCACCGGGCCGGAACUGACACUGAUGCUCGAAAGUGCGGGUAUCAAACAGGAUUAGAUACCCUGGUAGUCCGCACAGUAAACGAUGAAUACUCGCUGUUUGCGAUACACUGUAAGCGGCCAAGCGAAAGCGUUAAGUAUUCCACCUGGGGAGUACGCCGGCAACGGUGAAACUCAAAGGAAUUGACGGGG
RNAcentral lists this ribosomal RNA (393 nucleotides) under uncultured bacterium. RNAcentral's name for it is "partial 16S ribosomal RNA". It matches the Rfam family "Bacterial small subunit ribosomal RNA", at positions 523 to 918 of the family's 1533-position model. The record is from RNAcentral.